This is a long non-coding RNA of Cavia porcellus (domestic guinea pig), 607 nucleotides long. RefSeq lists it as uncharacterized. Lineage: Eukaryota; Metazoa; Chordata; Mammalia; Rodentia; Caviidae. The record is from RefSeq and is a predicted model, not a curated record. The transcript is spliced from 2 exons.
CCGGCGGGCGCGCGCCGGGUGCGCGAGGCGCGGGAGGGAGGCCGGAGGGGAGCCGGAGGGAGGCCUGCGCGGUGCGCGGGGACUCCGCGGACUGCUGCCCAGGGCGGCGAGCAGAGCUUGGGGAGGGGGCAGGCGGCGACGAGGAGGCUCGACUGGCACAGGAGGGCGUAGUGUCCGGCCGCCUCCGGGAGAGGCAGUGUCCGUGCUGGGCCGAUUGCCUUUGUUAGACGCGUACUUUGUGCGGGGCGCUCCAAGAGGCGAGAGCGAGCGCUAGGAGGCGCGUGGAGGCGCUAACGCCUCCCCUGCCCUUUGAAUGUCCGUGUUGCUCCUGCCAAUCUUCCUCCCUGGAACUGCAUCCUAUUGCUCAUGGACAGCACUUCUAGAAUCUCCAGCAAUCUAAUACACGUGGCUAUUGUAAACUGAAAAUCCUGUGCAGUUGAUGCAAUGCUAUGAGUGUAAAACACAUCGAAUCCCAGCAUGGUAACAGCUAGCUGUAAUCCCAGCUACUCAGGAGGCUAUGGCAGGAGGAAAUCAAGUUCAAAGCCAAUCUGAGCAAUUUAUUGAGAUCCUGUCUUGAAAUUUAAAAAAUAAAGAGCUGAGAAUGUAA